UUGGCAGCAGUGCAUGGGGAGCGGAAGGAGGGCCCCAGCGGCACCCGAUCAGGCCACUAAAGACAUUUCGGACCUAACCUCUGCUUCCACCCCAAAACUGGAGAGGAUACCCCCAGCAAGGUCGUGAUGGACCCCCAGGCCCCUGCCCGGCUGCCCCAGCCCUGGGAGAGGCAGGCAGCCCGGGGGCCAUGGGGAGAGGUGCACCAUGGCCCCCCACUGCAGCCCAGGAGGGGGGGUCUCCACACAGGGCCCCGGCCUCGGCCCGGCUCCUGGGAUGGGGGUCACCCCCCAGGCCACCCUCCCCGCAGGGAUGCUGGCAGGCUGGCUGCCCUGGCUGAGCGCUAUGAAAGCAGCUACCCCAGCAGGCCCUACUCCAGGCAAGGAUAUGAAGACCCCCACUGGCAGUACCCAGCAGCCAGCUAUGGGGAUGAUUACACCUACCAAAGCUACCAGUGGCAGCCAGUGGCCUGGCAGGGUGACAGAGACCUGAGACAGGGGGAGCAUUACAGCAAGAGUACCAACUACCAGGACCAGCACUACUACAAGGGUUACCACCCCAACCUGGCUGCAAGCUCCCCGGCGCCAGAUAGGAAGCAGACCUGCGACCCCUAUGACGACAGCUACACCUUGGCUGCCAGAAAGGAGAGGGCAGGGGGGGAAACCCACAGCAGUGAUUUGGGGGAGGCUGGUGGCCAGCCCCAAGAGCCAUCAGACCAGCCCAGCCUGCUCCUGCAGUACCACGAGUCAGGGCUCAGCUCCAGUGGCUAUGAGCUCAGCCAGUACAUCCGUGAAGGUGCUGACCACUAUGACCCUGCUCUUUCAGGGACCUGGGGCCUGGCACAAUCAGGGAGGCCCUUGGUGUCCACCCCAGCCCCAGUGGUACCCCUCAAGUUCUCAGUGCCACACACGGUGGUGUGCUUUGGAGCCAGAGGCCAGCUGGUGCUGGUGUGUCCCCGCCACCCUGCCAAGGGGCAGCUAGCCCUUGUUGAGCUACACAGCCUGGAGGUUGUCCUUCAUGGCACAAAAGAGCUGGAGGAACUACAGGCCUUCCCAGGGCCCCUGGCCAGGGAAGAUCUGCACAAGGUGGAUGUGAUGACAUUUUGCCAGCAGAAGAUAGCCACAAGCUGUGAUCUCUCAACACAGAGAGGCAGAGAUUCAUGUCUUCUCUGGAAACUCCUGGUCCUUCUCUGCCGGCAGAAUGGGUCCAUGGUGGGCUCAGACACAGCUGAGCUGCUGAUGGAAGACUGCAGGUGCCAGAAGUACAAGAGGCAAAACCCUGCGGCAAACCUGAUAGGCCUGACAAAUGACGAAUGGAUGUCGCAUCAGACAGGGACACUGGACCUCAUCACAGGGGACAUCCCUCCCGUUGUGGAGACACAGGCACAGAUAGUGGAGAAGUUCACCAAGCUCCUCUACUAUGGCAGGAAGAAAGAUGCUCUAGUCUGGGCCAUGAGAAACCAUCUUUGGGGACAUGCCCUCUUCCUCUCCAGCAAGAUGGACCCUCGAACCUACAGCUGGGUGCUCUCUGGGUUCACCAGCACACUGGUCACCAAUGACCCCCUGCAGACCCUCUUCCAGCUCAUGUCAGGAAGAAUCCCUCAGGCAGCGCUGUGCUGUGGAGAUGGCACGUGGGGAGACUGGAGGCCCCACCUGGCUGUGCUGUUGUCCAACAAGGUUGGAGACACGGAGCUGAACCACCGAGCCAUCGUCACCAUGGGAGACACUUUGGCUGGCAAGGGAUCAGUUGAAGCAGCUCAUUUCUGCUACCUGAUGGCAGAUAUCCCCUUUGGUUACUUCGGGGUGAAGGCAGAUCGCAUGGUUCUGCUGGGCAGCAGCCACCGGCAGGGGUUUGCCCAGUUUGCCAGAAUGGAGGCCAUCCAGCGGACGGAAAUCUUUGAGUACUGCCAGCGGCUACGGCAGCCUGAAUCCUUCCUGCUCCCCUUCCAGAUAUACAAGCUCCUCUAUGCCUCUCUCUUGGUUGACUAUGGACUCCCAGCCCAGGCCCUGCAAUACUGUGAGCAGAUUGCCACCGUGCUCCUAAGCCAGGAUCCAUCCAGCCAUCCUGUCCUGGCCCGGCAAGUGAUGAAGCUGGCCGAGCGGCUGAAACUCUCUGACCCUCUGCUCCUGGAGAUGCCAGAGCAGGACCAGAUGCUGGAGCCUGACUGGCUGGUACAGCUCCAAGGCUGCUGCCGAGAGUGGGAGGUGGAAGAUGACCUCCCACUGGAUGUGUCACUCACUCAGCCAGGGCUCUCCUGUGCUGCUGCAGUGAUGGCAGAUGAAGAGCCUGGCCAUGAGCUUCCCCAGAGUGAAGGCUACCGGCGUGACCAGUAUCAGCCUGUGCCACCCCAGGGAUCCAGCUCCCAACAGGAUGUGUCCCUCUGCUCUUUGGCCCCUGUUCAGGACACAGCAUCACCACUGCUCAGCAUUGGGCAGGAGCUGCAGCCCCCAGUGCUCGACCCAGGGACAACCACCCCUCUGGGAGUGGAUUUUGCUGAGCCCCCUCUACAGCCACUGCCACCAGCAGGAGAAGCUGGGGAGCCCUGGGGUGCCCUGUUGUCCCCUGAGGGGGUGCAGCCAUCCCUCCCAAAAGAGCAGGAGGGGUUAAAGGCUCAGACUGUCUCGGAGAGCUCCACUGUUUCCUUGGAAGAUGACAGCCGGCCUUCCUCAGAGAGCGUGGCUGAGGAUACUGCUGAAGAGCUGGCAUCAGCAGAGGCACUGAAGCUGGAUGAGGACAAGAACUCUGGAUUCAGGUGGUUUGGCUGGUUUCGGUCGAAGCCCACCAAGGAAACCUCUCCCAGAGAUGUGUCUGAGACUUCACCAGACUCCCCCACACUGGAACUGCAGAAGUCUUCUCAGCAUGCGAGGAACUUCUGCUUUACAUGGGUGGAUGUGCUUUCAGGAACAGACAUCACCAUUCCCAUCCGACACCCCUCUUGCAGCUCGGACAGCCCCUUCGGCUCAGCCUCCCUCCAGAAACCCUGCAGGCUUGCAAGGGGAAAAUGCUUUUGCUAUUACUCCGCUGUCCAUUGAGAUGAAAGGAUCAUGGGAGUCAGCAGGAGAGCAGACUGGCUUCCAUGAACAUCCACCACCAGUGGGGGCAGUCCCCCUGUUCAACCCUCUGCAGGUCUCCCAGCUCAUUACUGCCUCUCGACCCACCCAACCCAGGCUGCUUUCCCAGUGGCGCUACCCCAACCCUCUCUGAAGCAGAAAUCAAUAGCAGUGACCAUUGUGAACCAAAA
RNA transcript from Pezoporus occidentalis (night parrot), 3239 nucleotides. It is a transcript of the gene named SEC16 homolog B, endoplasmic reticulum export factor, with no coding region annotated. NCBI's taxonomy places the organism in Eukaryota, Metazoa, Chordata, Aves, Psittaciformes, Psittacidae. The record is from RefSeq and is a predicted model, not a curated record. The transcript is spliced from 26 exons.